UUGUCGUCAUGCUCAGGGUGGGAAGUUCGAGUUCUGUACAGUUGUGUAUGGAUGUUGUGGAUUGUAUCAGUCACGAAUAUGUCUGCUGUGUGCCUGGGUGUAAUUCCUACUACAAAAGACGGGAAAAAGACAAAACACGUUCGUUCCACCGGUUCCUGACAGACACCAGAUUGAAGAGAGAGUGGAUUUCAAAAAUUAGAAGAGACAUCGGUACAUUUUUCCAGCAAUGAACCUGCUGGAGAGACAGAAGAUGCAAGUGUAGACCUGGCUGGAGUUGACACUGGUGCAGACCAAGUUGUUAAGCCAGCACCCCACUCUGACCAUGACUAUGCUGAACUCUCGGUCACUGGAAGAGCAGCUAGAAGCAGCACGAAG
This is a long non-coding RNA of Alosa alosa (allis shad), 375 nucleotides long. RefSeq lists it as uncharacterized. The record is from RefSeq and is a predicted model, not a curated record. The transcript has 3 exons. NCBI's taxonomy places the organism in Eukaryota, Metazoa, Chordata, Actinopteri, Clupeiformes, Clupeidae.